UACAGAGGUGGCAAGCGUUGUUCGGAAUUACUGGGCGUAAAGGGCGCGUAGGCGGCCUUCUAAGUCAGACGUGAAAUCCCCCGGCUUAACCUGGGAACUGCGUCUGAUACUGGAAGGCUUGAGUGCGGGAGAGGUGAGUGGAACUCCGAGUGUAGAGGUGAAAUUCGUAGAUAUUCGGAAGAACACCAGUGGCGAAGGCGGCUCACUGGCCCGGUACUGACGCUCAGGUGCGAAAGCGUGGGGAGCAAACAGG
RNAcentral lists this ribosomal RNA (253 nucleotides) under uncultured bacterium. RNAcentral's name for it is "partial 16S ribosomal RNA". It matches the Rfam family "Bacterial small subunit ribosomal RNA", at positions 524 to 776 of the family's 1533-position model. The record is from RNAcentral.